Molecule: ribosomal RNA, 253 nt
Filed under: uncultured bacterium
Lineage: Bacteria
Description: partial 16S ribosomal RNA
Rfam family: Bacterial small subunit ribosomal RNA
Source: RNAcentral
UACAGAGGGGGCAAGCGUUAUUCGGAAUUAUUGGGCGUAAAGGGCGCGUAGGCGGCCUGGCAAGUGGAAGGUGAAAUCCCUCGGCUUAACCGAGGAACUGCCUUCCAAACUGCUUGGCUUGAGUCCGGGAGAGGUGAGUGGAAUUCCCAGUGUAGCGGUGAAAUGCGUAGAUAUUGGGAGGAACACCAGUGGCGAAGGCGGCUUCCUGGCCUGUUCUUGACGCUGAGGCGCGAAAGCGUGGGGAGCGAACAGG